Non-coding RNA from Triticum aestivum (bread wheat), 170 nucleotides. Lineage: Eukaryota; Viridiplantae; Streptophyta; Magnoliopsida; Poales; Poaceae. The record is from Rfam.
CUUAUACUCCCUCCGUUCCUAAAUAUAAGUCUUUGUAGAGAUUACACUAUGGACCACAUACGGAGCAAAAUGAGUGAAUCUACACUCUAAAAUGCAUCUACAUACAUCCGUAUGUGGUUCAUAGUAAAAUCUCUACAAAGACUUAUAUUUAGGAACGGAGGGAGUAUUAU